UGUGUAUGGUGGUCUGAACAUUGUAGAUUAUAUCCUAUUCGAAUUACUUGGGCUGCUUUGAAAACUGCUAUGCGUACUCGUUGGGUUCCACCAUAUUAUCAACGUGAAUUGCUUCAAAAAUUGCAGCGCUUAAGACAAGGGAAAAAUUCUGUAGAAGAAUAUUAUCAGGAAUUACAAACUGGCAUGAUUAGAUGUGGUAUUGUUGAGGAGAAUGAAGCUAUGCUUGCACGUUUUAUGGGUGGAUUAAAUAGAGAGAUUCAGACCAUUCUAGAGUAUAAGGAGUAUACUAAUAUCACUCGUUUAUUCCGUCUUGCUUGUAAAGCUGAACGUGAAGUGCAGGAUCGACAAGCAUUGGUGCGAACUAACUUUUCUGCAGGCCGACCAUCAUCAUGGACACCGCGUGCAUCUUCUACUUCAACUGCACCAGCACCUCCAUCAGGUGCCACCUCCAGCCGUGAUACAAGAAAGCAGGCACAACCACCAUUAUCUGCCAAGAGCGCACUUGCCGUGCCUACACAGAGCUCUUCUUCUUCCAUGGCAUCAACUGGGCACAUAAGUGAUAUUAUUUGUCGUCGUUGUAAGGGA
RNAcentral lists this ribosomal RNA (585 nucleotides) under Triticum aestivum (bread wheat). Its description in RNAcentral is "partial small subunit ribosomal RNA". The record is from RNAcentral. Lineage: Eukaryota; Viridiplantae; Streptophyta; Magnoliopsida; Poales; Poaceae.